This is a long non-coding RNA of Vespula vulgaris, 638 nucleotides long. RefSeq lists it as uncharacterized. The record is from RefSeq and is a predicted model, not a curated record. NCBI's taxonomy places the organism in Eukaryota, Metazoa, Arthropoda, Insecta, Hymenoptera, Vespidae. The transcript is spliced from 3 exons.
GGUUGUCGAAGUAGCACUACGCGAGCGAGUGUGGUACAACAAAUAUUUGCCUGUGCAUAGUUCAUACGUAUCAGAGAUCAGUUAUACAAGUUAUUUAGGCGGUUGAAACAAUUUCCUCAAUUUUACUAGUCAUUUGUCUAUACUAUCAAUACAAGAGAUAUACUAAACCAACCGAAGACGAGAACAGUUCCGAUAGCCUGGAGGUAUUGCAAAGGAGCCGAAUUGAUUUAUAUUUGAAUUGUAAUUCCAAAAAAGACAAAAAAAUUUCAACUACAUACCACCAGAUAAAACAACAUUGGACAUCUAAAGUGAAAAGCAAUCACAUUGAUUCUAUCUAUUCUUAGAUCUAUUCUUCUACUCUCUCUAUCUUCUUCUGAUUCUAUCUAAAUACGACGAUUGGAUUGUACAACAUGGAUAAUACUAAUGCCCGAAAAACAAUAAGAUUACUAUAUGAACACGUUUUUCUUUUUAAAAUUACUUAUAAAUGGAAAAAUAAUCAACGCUGUGUUUAUAUAAUGAUUAUAUGCAGGCGAAGAACGUAUUAUUUUUUGUAAGUGAAUUUAUCUAAAUGAAUCCCAAAUGGGAGUAAUUAUUCGAAAAGUAGUAUAAUAUGGAAAUAAAAUUUUUUUAGAUUUUGA